UCCGUAGGUGANACCUGCGGAAGGAUCAUUAUCGUUCCUUCACACGCACCAUGUGUACUGUUUUGUACCUCCUCGGAAUGGUGACUUGUCACCAUUCUUUGGCACCCCGCCUCUGGCGGUAACUGAGGCUGAGGUUUACCUCGCCUUCCCUCUGGAUGCGACUCUGUCGCUCCGUGAUAUAACAUAAAUCACACAACUCGCUUCGAUGGAUAUCUUGGCAUGAGCAACGAUGAAGAACGCAGCGAAAUGCGAUACGUAGUGCGAAUUGCAGAAUUCAGUGAAUCAUCGAGACUUUGAACGCAAAUGGCACUUCCAGCUUCCGGCUGGAAGUACACUUCCUCCAGUGGCGCCACCACCCCCCUCGGGCGCGCCUCGCGCGCCGGGAUGCGGCUGCUGCUCGGCUCUGCUGAGUGCCAGCUUAGGUGUUGGUGCGACAGUUGUGCACGUGAUGGGUUCAUACUUUGUAUGAGCUUAUCGCCCAAUGAGCUAACACGUUUCGUGAUUCACAUUGGUUAUGCGUGUGCAACUGGCGUUGGUGAGUGAGACUUCUCGCUUUACCGCCCAAAUGCUUCUGCAUUUUCUUAUCGCCAUGGAGUGACGUGAGGCUACCCGCUGAACUUAAGCAUAUCAAUA
This 633-nucleotide ribosomal RNA is filed under the name uncultured eukaryote. RNAcentral's name for it is "eukaryotic LSU rRNA". The stretch from base 195 to 349 matches the Rfam family "5.8S ribosomal RNA". The record is from RNAcentral.